RNAcentral lists this transfer RNA (77 nucleotides) under Candidatus Bathyarchaeota archaeon. Its description in RNAcentral is "tRNA-Lys". It matches the Rfam family "tRNA". From Rfam's summary of the family: Transfer RNA (tRNA) molecules are approximately 80 nucleotides in length. Their secondary structure includes four short double-helical elements and three loops (D, anti-codon, and T loops). Further hydrogen bonds mediate the characteristic L-shaped molecular structure. tRNAs have two regions of fundamental functional importance: the anti-codon, which is responsible for specific mRNA codon recognition, and the 3' end, to which the tRNAs corresponding amino acid is attached (by aminoacyl-tRNA synthetases). tRNAs cope with the degeneracy of the genetic code in two manners: having more than one tRNA (with a specific anti-codon) for a particular amino acid; and 'wobble' base-pairing, i.e. permitting non-standard base-pairing at the 3rd anti-codon position. RNAcentral also lists the same sequence under 1 other name. Lineage: Archaea; Thermoproteati; Candidatus Bathyarchaeota. The record is from RNAcentral.
GGGCCCGUAGCUCAGCAAGGUAGAGCGGCGGGCUCUUAACCCGUAGGUCCGGGGUUCAAUUCCCCGCGGGCCCGCCA